Molecule: ribosomal RNA, 527 nt
Filed under: uncultured Ralstonia sp.
Lineage: Bacteria; Pseudomonadati; Pseudomonadota; Betaproteobacteria; Burkholderiales; Burkholderiaceae
Description: bacterial SSU rRNA
Rfam family: Bacterial small subunit ribosomal RNA
Source: RNAcentral
UGCCUUACACAUGCAAGUCGAACGGCAGCAUGAUCUAGCUUGCUAGAUUGAUGGCGAGUGGCGAACGGGUGAGUAAUACAUCGGAACGUGCCCUGUAGUGGGGGAUAACUAGUCGAAAGAUUAGCUAAUACCGCAUACGACCUGAGGGUGAAAGUGGGGGACCGCAAGGCCUCAUGCUAUAGGAGCGGCCGAUGUCUGAUUAGCUAGUUGGUGGGGUAAAGGCCCACCAAGGCGACGGUCAGUAGCUGGUCUGAGAGGACGAUCAGCCACACUGGGACUGAGACACGGCCCAGACUCCUACGGGAGGCAGCAGUGGGGAAUUUUGGACAAUGGGCGAAAGCCUGAUCCAGCAAUGCCGCGUGUGUGAAGAAGGCCUUCGGGUUGUAAAGCACUUUUGUCCGGAAAGAAAUGGCUCUGGUUAAUACCUGGGGUCGAUGACGGUACCGGAAGAAUAAGGACCGGCUAACUACGUGCCAGCAGCCGCGGUAAUACGUAGGGUCCAAGCGUUAAUCGGAAUUACUGGGCGU